GCUGGCGCAGCUCAGUUGGCAGAGCAACCGACUUUUAAUCGGUAGGCUGAAGGUUCGAAUCCUUUCGCCGGCA
Molecule: transfer RNA, 73 nt
Filed under: Paenibacillus oenotherae
Lineage: Bacteria; Bacillati; Bacillota; Bacilli; Caryophanales; Paenibacillaceae
Description: tRNA-Lys
Rfam family: tRNA
About the family: Transfer RNA (tRNA) molecules are approximately 80 nucleotides in length. Their secondary structure includes four short double-helical elements and three loops (D, anti-codon, and T loops). Further hydrogen bonds mediate the characteristic L-shaped molecular structure. tRNAs have two regions of fundamental functional importance: the anti-codon, which is responsible for specific mRNA codon recognition, and the 3' end, to which the tRNAs corresponding amino acid is attached (by aminoacyl-tRNA synthetases). tRNAs cope with the degeneracy of the genetic code in two manners: having more than one tRNA (with a specific anti-codon) for a particular amino acid; and 'wobble' base-pairing, i.e. permitting non-standard base-pairing at the 3rd anti-codon position.
Source: RNAcentral